This is a long non-coding RNA of Ruditapes philippinarum (Manila clam), 2296 nucleotides long. RefSeq lists it as uncharacterized. The transcript has 2 exons. NCBI's taxonomy places the organism in Eukaryota, Metazoa, Mollusca, Bivalvia, Venerida, Veneridae. The record is from RefSeq and is a predicted model, not a curated record.
AAAUCUUUAUUUUCUAUUUACCUAUUACAAAUGGAUUAUAGUAUAAUAAUGAUGUAUUGUUAUCAACAAAGUUUAAUAGUAACAAUAGUAAAACAUGAAGUCAAAUCAUAGAACAGCAAUCCGUACAUAAUGUUCUACUUAACUAUAUAAACCUACAACCAUUCCAACUAUGAGCUACAUGUAUAUAUAUAAUUAAUAAACAAUUAUCUUAAACAACACAUGGAAUUACGUAUUUCUGCUAUAUAUAGUAACAUGAUAAUGUCACGUGACUCAAUAUAGCGAAUUAUAUUGUCACGUGACUAUGUCGCACAUGCUCAUGAUAUAAAUUUCUUUAUACAAGCAAUUUUUAAAACAUACAAUUGUUCAAUUAGAAUAUUAACGCAAAUGAAUGUUUAAAAAUUAUAAUGCUAACAUUAUCUAAUUUCCUCAUGUUAUAAUUUCAAGACGUCAUGAUCACUGCGCACUAAAGCGAUUUAAUUCACGUUGAUAUACAGAACACUUAAACAUAUUCAUGUUGCCCAACUGAGCACUAAAUGCGUAUUCAUGUUGAUCAACUAAACACUAAAAGCGUAUUCACAUUGAUUUUCAGAACAGCUUUAAAGCUACAUGCCUCCAGAUGGACAAAAUAUUUCAAUGAAAUUAAACUUGAGAAAAAUGUACUAAGAUGUAAGGAAAAGUAAAAAGUUUUAAGAUCCGAGUUAUAUUUUACAUAUUAAUGACUGAUUUUUCAGUAUUUACAACUAUAUUUUUGCAGCGUUACUAACGCAGUAAAUGCUAUUUAAGCAUAUUAUGACCACUUUUUGUUCACUUUUUGUUAAUUAACGUGGUUUGUAAGUACCAUUGAUAAAGUGUAAAUUGCAUCUUUUUAGCUACUUCACAAUAUUGCACAUUCUAAUACAUUUUCAAAGUUUUCAUGACAAUUAGCAUAAAUCUGGAGGCGUGCUGCUUUAAGAGAUUAAUACACGGCAGAGUAGGGCCGGAAGGUGAUAAUCGGCCCGCAAAAUGAAUAAUGGCCGGAGGCUUUAGCCCGAGGGCAUUAUUCAUUCAGGGCCGAUUAUCACCUUCUGGCACAACUAUGACGUGUAUUAAUGUCUUUAAUACACUUGGUAGAUCUUAUAGUAGCAAUUUUCUAAAAAAAUACUUUGAUAUUUCUUUCGUCUGUACUUCUACUGUACUGUACAGAACUUUACUUCUUCAGAGUUGUUUACUUUUUAUGUGUACAAAGUACACUAGAAUCUAGAAGCAAGUAUUAUUUUCAUUUUUUUUUCGGAAUGAAUUUGUCGUAUUAUUUUUUUAAAUUUCAAUAGUUAAAAAAACUGUGUAAGCUCUCAUAUUAAAAUCAAGCGAUUCGUGCUAAAAACCUACUUUAAAUGUUUGAAGACGUGAAAUCUGACGUCAUUGUUUCAGUUUGUGCACCUACAUUAGUUCUGCGGGCUGAUAACUAGUUCUCGGCCCCGGGCCGCAAACUCAGGUCACGUGACACUCAUCAUGGGCAAUUUUGUUACUAUAUAUAGUAACAAGUGUAUUAAUAUCGUUUUCUUGUUGACCAACCGAACACACAAAAAGCUUAUUCACGUUGAUCAAAUUCAGCACUGUAUUUACGUUGAUCAGCCUAUUGGCAUACCAUUGUUAGCAGAAUACAAGAUCUACCCAUUCAUUGACAAAAAAUGUAGACCAAAUCAGACCCACUCAUCUGUACAGUCUUGCAAUACUUUUUUAAUGCUGCCUACACAAUUCAGUAAUUCAAGCUUCAUAUCCCUGAACUAACCAAUGCAAGAAGUCAAAUUUAAAGCAAGUCUAAUUCAUUUACAUAGAAACAGCGAACAUCCUUUUAGUUAUAUACGUCUGGUCCCUCUUAACUUUUGGAAAUUUGAAAUAAACUUAAAUCAAUAUAUCAGUGUGGUCUUUGCCUGUUUAAAAUAAAACAAAAUUAAGAUACAAGACAAUAAAAAGAUGAAAGGUGGGAACGUGAAAUUCCAAAUUUACUUCCAACUUACUUGGCAUGUAUUCUUGCUAAAAUGAUACAUAAUGUUCAAUUUAUGUUACUAUAGUGUAAAAUAGUUAAAAGUGUUUUUUUUUAUCUGUAAUAUAUCAUUGCCCUGGUAAUAAAAAGGUGAAAAAAAUAUUUUGAAAAAUGGGUGAAUAUUAAAAAGUGAAAAACGGUAUAAUUAAAAACGCCCAAAACGGCAAAUUUGAAAAAAAAAUGUUACAGGUCCGUUCAUGGACGGUAGUGAUAAAGAAAAGCCACCAUCCAUGCCCCUUAGCACCGGCUUAAGCAGAACUAACCUUUAAAUAU